This is a long non-coding RNA of Ictidomys tridecemlineatus (thirteen-lined ground squirrel), 912 nucleotides long. RefSeq lists it as uncharacterized. The record is from RefSeq and is a predicted model, not a curated record. Lineage: Eukaryota; Metazoa; Chordata; Mammalia; Rodentia; Sciuridae.
GAGGGAGGUGGCCCCACGGGAAGAACACGAUGCUAAGAUCAAGACCACGGAAAGGCAGGCCCCGUGCUGGGGGCUGAGCUGGGUCCUCUCUGCUGGCUCCCCCAGCUCAGAGUGUGACCCUGGAAAUCUUGUUCAGUCCCUAGAUGCCACCUGUCCUGGGAAGGGCAGCCUCUGAGAAGCCGAGAGCUGGAGGCUGUCUGCUGAGCCCCGUCCCCAAGGCAGGUGACCCCCACACCCCACCAGCUCCAGACUGGACCCUAGGGCCAUGGGGCUGUGGCAGUGAUGAUGGAAACCAGGAAGGCGGGCAGCUGCAGGGAACCAGAGUGAGGCAGGGGCUGCCUGGGAAACUGGAACGGGACUGGGGAGCCAGGAGGCCGGGCUUUGGCAGAAAGUCAUCUUACCCAAGUGUCCCCAAACCAAAAUCCCACUUACAGGAAAGGAAAAUCAGAGUUCAAGAGAAUGUGAACCUGGGGAGUCUGUUUAGAAACCACUGGGAAGGAUGGAAAGGAUCAGUCACUCAAGAGGGUGGAUGAUGGAGCUGCUGGCACACACCAACUUGAAGUGCACAUGCCACUAGCACCUGCUGUCCCCACUGGCCUGCCUAUGCUGAGCAUUGGGCCUCCGUCUCAUUCCAGAGGGGCUUCUGUCGUCCAGGACCCCGCAGCUGCCCCUGCCUGCUUCUUCCUGCCCUUUCACCUCCUCUAAGGGCCAAGUCUAAAAUCCAAAGACCCCCAGAUUUCUGCACCCUGGAUUGUCACCAUGAUUUCUAUCACUUAAGACAGCAGCUGAAAAGCCAGCCUGGUGGCACAUGCUUGUAGUCCCAGCUGCUCAGGGGGCUGAGGCAGGAGUCUGAGGCCAACCUGAGUGAUAGAACAAAACCUCGUCUCUUAAAACAAAACAGAGUUCAGUUGA